CUAGCGACUUCAGAGUUUGAUCCUGGCUCAGACGAACGCUGGUGGCGUGUUUUAUACAUGCAAGUCGAGCGAGGACAGUAGCUUGCUACUGAGCCGAGCGGCGAACGGGUGAGUAACGCGUAAGCAAUCUGCCCUACAGUAGGGAACAACCAGGCCAACGCCUGGCUAAUACCGUAUAUAGUGGAAGGUCGCCUGACCUUUUGACGAAAGAUUUAUCGCUGUAGGAUGAGCUUGCGUCCGAUUAGCUAGUAGGCGGGGUAACGGCCCACCUAGGCGACGAUCGGUAGCCGGCCUGAGAGGGUGAUCGGCCACAUUGGGACUGAGAUACGGCCCAG
Molecule: ribosomal RNA, 335 nt
Filed under: uncultured bacterium
Lineage: Bacteria
Description: bacterial SSU rRNA
Rfam family: Bacterial small subunit ribosomal RNA
Source: RNAcentral